GCACAAGCGGUGGAGCAUGUGGUUUAAUUCGACGCAACGCGAAGAACCUUACCAGGGCUUGACAUCCCCUGACCGCGUAUGAAAGUACGAAUUCACCUUCGGGUGACAGGGAGACAGGUGGUGCAUGGUUGUCGUCAGCUCGUGUCGUGAGAUGUUGGGUUAAGUCCCGCAACGAGCGCAACCCCUACGUUUAGUUGCUAACGCGUGAAGGCGAGCACUCUAGACGAACUGCCGUUGACAAAACGGAGGAAGGUGGGAUGACGUCAAAUCAUCAUGCCCCUUAUGUUCUGGGCUACACACGUGCUACAAUGGCCGGUACAGACGGACGCAAAGCCGCGAGGUGGAGCAAAUCCUAAAAAGCCGGUCUCAGUUCGGAUUGCAGGCUGCAAUUCGCCUGCAUGAAGUCGGAAUCGCUAGUAAUCGCAGGUCAGCAUACUGCGGUGAAUACGUUCCCGGGCCUU
This 461-nucleotide ribosomal RNA is filed under the name uncultured Pelotomaculum sp. Its description in RNAcentral is "bacterial SSU rRNA". It matches the Rfam family "Bacterial small subunit ribosomal RNA", at positions 923 to 1382 of the family's 1533-position model. The record is from RNAcentral. Lineage: Bacteria; Bacillati; Bacillota; Clostridia; Eubacteriales; Desulfotomaculaceae.